AGGCUCUGCCGUCCCGUGAUCGCUUCUUAGAGGGACUUUGCGGUUAUAAAUCGCAAGGAAGUUUAAGGCAAUAACAGGUCUGUGAUGCCCUUAGAUGUCCUGGGCUGCACGCGCGCUACACUGAUGCGUUCAUCGAGUUUAUCCUUGGCCGAGAGGCCCGGGUAAUCUUUAGUACGCAUCGUGAUGGGGAUCGAUUAUUGCAAUUGUUAAUCGUGAACGAGGAAUGCCUAGUAUGCGCAAGUCAUCAGCUUGUGCAGAUUACGUCCCUGCCCUUUGUACACACCGCCCGUCGCUCCUACCGAUCGA
RNAcentral lists this ribosomal RNA (306 nucleotides) under Theileria taurotragi. RNAcentral's name for it is "SSU rRNA". It matches the Rfam family "Eukaryotic small subunit ribosomal RNA", at positions 1385 to 1692 of the family's 1831-position model. The record is from RNAcentral. Lineage: Eukaryota; Apicomplexa; Aconoidasida; Piroplasmida; Theileriidae.